ACUAAUUAAAAAGUUUUGAUUUGAAAUCAAGUACCAAAGCGAGUAGGAGUGCUUAUUAGUCUA
This 63-nucleotide transfer RNA is filed under the name Mytilus edulis (blue mussel). RNAcentral's name for it is "tRNA-Ser". Lineage: Eukaryota; Metazoa; Mollusca; Bivalvia; Mytilida; Mytilidae. The record is from RNAcentral.